Molecule: long non-coding RNA, 1741 nt
Filed under: Nicotiana tabacum (common tobacco)
Lineage: Eukaryota; Viridiplantae; Streptophyta; Magnoliopsida; Solanales; Solanaceae
Description: long non-coding RNA (NTAB_LNC018357)
Source: RNAcentral
UAGGCAACCUCAAGUAAUUCGCUUGUUUUCUAGCUAUCCGAUACAUCUAUGGGAUAUGUUAUGCGAUGACUCCACGUGGUGGUGGGAGACUCCAUUGCGACAGUCUCCAAUUAAGACUUCAUUUGCUCCAAAGUGUACAUGCAAAUAAAAAAAUAAACGAAAAGUAGAAUUAGAGGGGAAACUUAUGCAUAAUGGAACAAAUGGCGAACCAAAGACACGUAAAAUUCCCAAUAAUAAACUAUAGCUAAACCAUGCUCCAUUUAUUGAAACAAAUGAAGACUAAAACAAGUUUCUUGGCAUUUCAAGUAGUUGAUCAAACUCAUACUGCACUUUUAUUUAGAAGUAUAUGUAUUGAUUCUGACUUAUGACUUGCAUCACUAAAAUUACUAGGAAAAUUACACUAGAUCGAUGGUCUGAAACAUAACUAAUCUCAAAUGACGACCAAGGUCCUAUUUUAAUUAUUUUGGCUAUUCAUAGUCAUCAAAAGAACAAUAAUAAUUUUCUGCAAUUAAAGAAAAUGCAUACAGUCCUACAAACAAAUUAUGAAUCCCAUCUUCAUGAACAUGUCUAGCUUAUCAGCAAGUUUCUUUCUUUCUUUCUUGAAGGAAUUUAUAAUUUGGGAAGGACGUUUUAAACUACUCAUGAAGUAAUAGCUUUAAGCUACUAACUUCAUAAAAUUGCUUUCAAACAUACAUAUUUUAACGAGACAUGCUAAAUCGAGAUUCGACAUCGAACAAGUGUUUACAUAAAUAUUGUAUCUGACAGUUUUCUUUUCAAUUAAAAUAGGACUAAAACAUGACACAUCCUAAAUCAUGAUUUUCUACUACAUGAAGAGCUAAUAAGUAAUAGUUUCUACGAGCAAAUAACAAAAUAGAGUGACGGCUCAAACUAAUUACCUCACAGAUUAAAAGAAGCAUUUCGAAUGUCAAAAAAGAGGAAAUGGAAGUAACAACAUUUUUACCAAUAUGUACAGAUCAUAAACAUGCUUAGACCUGCGGAAUCGAAAAGAGAAGAAAAAGCACUGACCUAUUUCAGAGCAGUGAACUGAGGGCGGUGAUCAUAGAUGCUCUCAAAUUCCGACCUCGAAACUUUUACUACGAACAACUUUGUUGGAGAGUUUGGAAAAGAAAUACGAAGUAUUUAGGGAAAGGAUAAGCUUUUGGGAAGUCUGUUGAAGAAUAAAACGUGAACAGAAUAAGGAGAGAAGACGGCUCAAAGUAGCGAUUUUAGGUUCGAGAAGCGGUUAAAACUUUUUGUUUAAAGAGAAAGGCAGCGACUUCAAAAAAAGUUUAGGAGUAAGAGGCAGCUAAAAACCAUCAAAUUUUGGGGUAAAAGUGCGGCUAAAAACCAUUUAAUUUAAGGUGAAAGUAGGCGGCUCCAACCAUUUUUGGGGGUAAAGGUGUAGCUCCAAAACAUAUCCAAAAUAGACACCAAUAGGAUGUAUUUAUAGAGACGAUUUUAGGGCUGGGGAACCAUUGAGCGGAAAUCGGACUAACCAUUUGAAUUUUGAACAAAAAAAACCAUUUGCAUUGGAUCAAAUCUUUGAUGCAGAGACCAAAUCUCAUUCUCUGAAAAGUAAUCCUGGCUUUUUGUUAUGAGCCUAGUUUGACCAAGUUUGGUGUAUGAAGAUUCAUUAUAAUGGAAUGAUAUUUUCUAGCCUAGGGAUGAAGAUGUUUGGAGUUUUAUCAAAAAUAGAAAAAGGAACAGAGUGUCUGCCAUGGGAGAGGGACAAGAGUGGAGU